RNAcentral lists this long non-coding RNA (580 nucleotides) under Nicotiana benthamiana. RNAcentral describes it as "long non-coding RNA (NBEN_LNC031714)". Lineage: Eukaryota; Viridiplantae; Streptophyta; Magnoliopsida; Solanales; Solanaceae. The record is from RNAcentral.
UCUCUCUCCCUCUCUCUUCCCUCUCUCCUCCUUUCUCUUUCAUCUGUCUUCUCUUUAUCCCUGAUUUUUUCUUCCCCUGCUUUUAGAAACCGCAACACGGGUUGUGGUCCGCCAACGACAUAUCCGGCCGAUGACCACUUCCCCAUUCCUUUCUGUGCUGCAUUCACUUUUUUUGUUCCAAAGAGUUGUGGUAAGUAGAAACAAAGAUCUGAGGAAAAAAAAGAUAAAGGAGAAACAAAUAUCUGGAGAAAUAAAAGUGCAGAUCUCAAAAUUUUCAAAGCAGAAAUGAGAGAUUCACUACCUGGACAAAUCAGAGGGUGUCGGUACCGGCGGCGACGCCCUACAUGACGGCGGCCUGGAUAUCGGUGGAUUGGGGAUGGAGUUUGGGGGUUAAGGAACUUGAAGAGUGUGUUACCAUUUUUCUCAUUGUAUUUCAAUGUAUCUCGUUGUAUUCCAUUUAUUUUAUUGUAUUCACCGUCUUUAGUUUUUCUACCUUUUCAAUAUACUCAUUGUAUUUAACUAUAUUCAAUGUAAUUAUAUAACUUUCAAAGCUUCACUUUAUUUCACUGUUUUGUCCAGC